CCUACGGGGGUCAGCAGUGAGGAAUAUUGGUCAAUAGUCGGAAGCCUGAACCAGCCAAGUAGCGUGCAGGAUGACGGCCCUACGGGUUGUAAACUGCUUUUAUACGGGAAUAACGCGCCUUACGUGUAGGGCUUUGCAUGUACCGUAUGAAUAAGGACCGGCUAAUUCCGUGCCAGCAGCCGCGGUAAUACGGAAGGUCCGGGCUUUAUCCGGAUGUCGUGGGUUUCAAGGGAGCGUAGGCCGCAUGUCAAGCGUGCUGUGAAAUGUUCGGGCUCAACCCGGGCCUUGCAGCGCGAACUGGCGUGCUUGAGUCCGCGGAAAGCAGGCGGAAUUCGUCGUGGAGCGGGGAAAUGCUUAGAUAUGACGAAGAACCCCGAUUGCGAAGGCAGCUUGCUGCAGCGGAACUGACGCUGAUGCUCGAAAGCGCGGGUAUCGAACAGGAUUAGAUACCCGGGUAGUC
This 460-nucleotide ribosomal RNA is filed under the name uncultured bacterium. RNAcentral's name for it is "partial 16S ribosomal RNA". It matches the Rfam family "Bacterial small subunit ribosomal RNA", at positions 338 to 795 of the family's 1533-position model. The record is from RNAcentral.